RNAcentral lists this unclassified non-coding RNA (504 nucleotides) under Hevea brasiliensis (rubber tree). The record is from RNAcentral. Lineage: Eukaryota; Viridiplantae; Streptophyta; Magnoliopsida; Malpighiales; Euphorbiaceae.
CAGUCGGCGGCGGGGACCAAGCGGCGCGUCUUCAUCAUCGAGACGAUGGGUGGCUACUGCGGGUACCUGGCCACCAUGGCAGGGCUGGCAGCCGGUGCUGAUGCUGCCUACAUCUUCGAGGAGCACUUCAGCAUCCGUGACCUGCAGAUCAACGUGGAGCACUUAACUGAAAAGAUGAAGACGACGGUGAAGCGCGGGCUGGUGCUCAGGAAUGAGCACUGCAACGAGAACUACACCACUGACUUCAUCUACAACCUCUACACGGAGGAGGGCAAAGGCAUCUUCGACUGCCGCAAGAACGUACUGGGACACAUGCAGCAGGGUGGCGCCCCGACCCCCUUUGACAGGAAUUUCGGCACUAAAAUGGGCGCCAAGUCGGUGGCUUGGAUCACUGGCAAGAUCAAGGAGUGCUCCCGGCACGGUCGCAUCUUUGCCAACACGGCUGACUCGGCGUGCCUGCUGGGCAUGCGCAAGCGCAGCCUGGUCUUCCAGCCCCUCACCGAG